AGCGAACGCUGGCGGCAUGCUUAACACAUGCAAGUCGCACGGGCAGUAGCAAUACUGUCAGUGGCGGACGGGUGAGUAACGCGUAGGAAUCUAUCCUUGAAUGGGGGACAACCGUGGGAAACUACGGCUAAUACCGCAUGAUGCCUGAGGGCCAAAGACGAAAGUCGUUUGAGGAGGAGCCUGCGUCUGAUUAGGUAGUUGGUGGGGUAAAGGCCUACCAAGCCUACGAUCAGUAGCUGGUCUGAGAGGAUGAUCAGCCACAUUGGGACUGAGACACGGCCCAAACUCCUACGGGAGGCAGCAGUAGGGAAUCUUCCGCAAUGGGCGCAAGCCUGACGGAGCAACGCCGCGUGAGCGAAGAAGGCCUUCGGGUUGUAAAGCCCUUUGGCGGGACGAUGAUGACGGUACCCGCAGAAUAAGCUCCGGCUAACUUCGUG
RNAcentral lists this ribosomal RNA (437 nucleotides) under uncultured bacterium. RNAcentral's name for it is "bacterial SSU rRNA". It matches the Rfam family "Bacterial small subunit ribosomal RNA", at positions 29 to 507 of the family's 1533-position model. The record is from RNAcentral.